RNAcentral lists this ribosomal RNA (481 nucleotides) under uncultured bacterium. RNAcentral's name for it is "partial 16S ribosomal RNA". It matches the Rfam family "Bacterial small subunit ribosomal RNA", at positions 28 to 507 of the family's 1533-position model. The record is from RNAcentral.
GACGAACGUUGGCGGCGUGCUUAAUACAUGCAAGUCAACUGAAGCAGUGGUAGCAAUAUCUCUGUGGAGGUGGCGCACGGGUGAGUAACACGUAGGUAAUCUGCCUUCAGGUCUGGCAUAACUCCGGGAAACCGGGGCUAAUAGCAGAUGAUGCAGCGGCUCGACAUCGAGACAGUUGUUAAAGCUAUGGCGCCUGAAGAUGAGCCUGCGUCUGAUUAGCUAGUUGGCGGGGUAACGGCCCACCAAGGCAACGAUCAGUAGCUGGUCUGAGAGGAUGAUCAGCCACACUGGAACUGAGACACGGUCCAGACUCCUACGGGAGGCAGCAGUAAGGAAUAUUGCUCAAUGGGAGAAAUCCUGAAGCAGCAACGCCGCGUGAGGGACGAAGGGCUUUUGCUUGUAAACCUCUGUAGUGAGAGAAAAAAAUCCCAAUCUUUGGGACAUGAUGGUAUCUCAAAAGUAAGCCCCGGCUAACUACGUG